RNAcentral lists this ribosomal RNA (465 nucleotides) under Vreelandella stevensii. Its description in RNAcentral is "partial 16S ribosomal RNA". It matches the Rfam family "Bacterial small subunit ribosomal RNA", at positions 338 to 795 of the family's 1533-position model. The record is from RNAcentral. Lineage: Bacteria; Pseudomonadati; Pseudomonadota; Gammaproteobacteria; Oceanospirillales; Halomonadaceae.
CCUACGGGUGGCAGCAGUGGGGAAUAUUGGACAAUGGGCGAAAGCCUGAUCCAGCCAUGCCGCGUGUGUGAAGAAGGCCUUCGGGUUGUAAAGCACUUUCAGUGGGGAAGAAAGCCUUGGGGCUAAUACCCUCGAGGAAGGACAUCACCCACAGAAGAAGCACCGGCUAACUCCGUGCCAGCAGCCGCGGUAAUACGGAGGGUGCGAGCGUUAAUCGGAAUUACUGGGCGUAAAGCGCGCGUAGGCGGUCUGAUAAGCCGGUUGUGAAAGCCCCGGGCUCAACCUGGGAACGGCAUCCGGAACUGUCAGGCUAGAGUGCAGGAGAGGAAGGUAGAAUUCCCGGUGUAGCGGUGAAAUGCGUAGAGCUCGGGAGGAAUACCAGUGGCGAAGGCGGCCUUCUGGACUGACACUGACGCUGAGGUGCGAAAGCGUGGGUAGCAAACAGGAUUAGAUACCCGUGUAGUC